GAUGAACGCCGGCGGCGUGCCUAAUACAUGCAAGUCGAGCGAACGGACGAGAAGCUUGCUUCUCUGAUGUCAGCGGCGGACGGGUGAGUAACACGUGGAUAACCUACCUAUAAGACUGGGAUAACUUCGGGAAACCGGAGCUAAUACCGGAUAAUAUUUUGAACCGCAUGGUUCAAAAGUGAAAGACGGUCUUGCUGUCACUUAUAGAUGGAUCCGCGCUGCAUUAGCUAGUUGGUAAGGUAACGGCUUACCAAGGCAACGAUGCAUAGCCGACCUGAGAGGGUGAUCGGCCACACUGGAACUGAGACACGGUCCAGACUCCUACGGGAGGCAGCAGUAGGGAAUCUUCCGCAAUGGGCGAAAGCCUGACGGAGCAACGCCGCGUGAGUGGUGAAGGUCUUCGGAUCGUAAAACUCUGUUAUUAGGGAAGAACAUAUGUGUAAGUAACUGUGCACAUCUUGACGGUACCUAAUCAGAAAGCCACGGCUAACUACGUGCCAGCAGCCGCGGUAAUACGUAGGUGGCAAGCGUUAUCCGGAAUUAUUGGGCGUAAAGCGCGCGUAGGCGGUUUUUUAAGUCUGAUGUGAAAGCCCACGGCUCAACCGUGGAGGGUCAUUGGAAACUGGAAAACUUGAGUGCAGAAGAGGAAAGUGGAAUUCCAUGUGUAGCGGUGAAAUGCGCAGAGAUAUGGAGGAACACCAGUGGCGAAGGCGACUUUCUGGUCUGUAACUGACGCUGAUGUGCGAAAGCGUGGGGAUCAAACAGGAUUAGAUACCCUGGUAGUCCACGCCGUAAACGAUGAGUGCUAAGUGUUAGGGGGUUUCCGCCCCUUAGUGCUGCAGCUAACGCAUUAAGCACUCCGCCUGGGGAGUACGACCGCAAGGUUGAAACUCAAAGGAAUUGACGGGGACCCGCACAAGCGGUGGAGCAUGUGGUUUAAUUCGAAGCAACGCGAAGAACCUUACCAAAUCUUGACAUCCUUUGACAACUCUAGAGAUAGAGCUUUCCCCUUCGGGGGACAAAGUGACAGGUGGUGCAUGGUUGUCGUCAGCUCGUGUCGUGAGAUGUUGGGUUAAGUCCCGCAACGAGCGCAACCCUUAAGCUUAGUUGCCAUCAUUAAGUUGGGCACUCUAAGUUGACUGCCGGUGACAAACCGGAGGAAGGUGGGGAUGACGUCAAAUCAUCAUGCCCCUUAUGAUUUGGGCUACACACGUGCUACAAUGGACAAUACAAAGGGCAGCGAAACCGCGAGGUCAAGCAAAUCCCAUAAAGUUGUUCUCAGUUCGGAUUGUAGUCUGCAACUCGACUACAUGAAGCUGGAAUCGCUAGUAAUCGUAGAUCAGCAUGCUACGGUGAAUACGUUCCCGGGUCU
RNAcentral lists this ribosomal RNA (1372 nucleotides) under uncultured bacterium. RNAcentral describes it as "bacterial SSU rRNA". It matches the Rfam family "Bacterial small subunit ribosomal RNA", at positions 28 to 1381 of the family's 1533-position model. The record is from RNAcentral.